UGGGGAAUAUUGGACAAUGGGGGAAACCCUGAUCCAGCGAUGCCGCGUGUGCGAAGAAGGCCUGCGGGUUGUAAAGCACUUUGGGUGGGGAAGAAAGAAGCAUGGUGAAUAGCCAUGCGAGUUGACGUUACCCACAAAACAAGCACCGGCUAACUCUGUGCCAGCAGCCGCGGUAAUACAGAGGGUGCGAGCGUUAAUCGGAAUUACUGGGCGUAAAGGGCGCGUAGGCGGUUAAUUAAGUUAGAUGUGAAAUACCUGGGCUUAACCUGGGAGUGGCAUUUAAUACUGGUUAGCUGGAGUAGAGUAGAGGGAAGUGGAAUUUCCGGUGUAGCGGUGAAAUGCGUAGAUAUCGGAAAGAACACCGGUGGCGAAGGCGGCUUCCUGGACUCAUACUGACGCU
This 400-nucleotide ribosomal RNA is filed under the name uncultured bacterium. RNAcentral describes it as "bacterial SSU rRNA". It matches the Rfam family "Bacterial small subunit ribosomal RNA", at positions 355 to 747 of the family's 1533-position model. The record is from RNAcentral.